Molecule: unclassified non-coding RNA, 240 nt
Filed under: soil metagenome
Description: partial contains 5.8S ribosomal RNA, internal transcribed spacer 2, and large subunit ribosomal RNA
Source: RNAcentral
AACCAUAGAAACCUGCGGAGUACCUGCGGAAGGAUCAUUACAGAGUUGCAAAACUCCCUAAACCAUUGUGAACGUUACCUAAACCGUUGCUUCGGCGGGCGGCCCGGGUCCUUCCCGGCGCCCAUCGGCCCUCGCGGGCGCCCGCCGGAGGUAAACCAGACUAUUGCAUUGUAUGGCCUCUCUGAGUCUUCUGUACUGAAUAAGUCAAAACUUUCAACAACGGAUCUCAGAUCGGAAGAG